CCUUUACUUACCCAAAUCCUAUAAAACGGCCCCACCCUUAUCUCCCUUCGCUGACUCUCUUUUCGGACUCAGCCCACCUGCACCCAGGUGAAAUAAACAGCUUUACUGCUCUCACACAAAGCCUGUUUGGUGGUCUCUUCACACGGACGCGCAUGAAAUUUGGUGCCAUGACUCGGAUCGGGGGACCUCCCUUGGGAGAUCAAUCCCCUGUCUUCCUGUUCUUUGCUCCGUGAGAAAGAUCCACCUACAACCUCAGGUCCUCAGACCGACCAGCCCAAGGAACAUCUCACCAAUUUUAAAUCAGGCAGCACCGAACCCCAGAGAGAGGCAAUGACCUUCCCAGGGGAUUUCUACAAAUUAAUAGAAAAACUGGAACUCCACUGCCCACUGCAGCACCACCAUGUCUUUCGGACAGUACCUCUUGCCACAUGGUAUUUCCUAUAUCUUCCUGUCUUUUCCAUGGCCAAAAAUGAUCAAGUAAAGAACAUUAAAGAAGAAAUAAAUUACUACAUAUUAAAAAAUACAUACUGUAAGAUGUUCUUUGUACAAAAAUGUGACAACUUCAAUAAGAGUAACUUGGACAACCUGAGGCAUUAAUUGAGGAUCAAUAUGAUGACUUUACAUUGAGAAUCACAUAUACCCUCUGAAUAAAUUUAAAAAAUGAAAUUUUUUAAUUUUCAUUAAAAAUUAAAUUUUUUUGAGUGAUGAAAAUACUCAAUCACAUUAUUUUCAAAUUGUUGAUAAGCAUGGAAAUUAUCAGAGAACCAGAAUAUUCAAGGUUUAUCUUUCCUGUUUUUGUCUUAAAUCACAACUAUGUGUUAAAUAAUUUGUAUGACCUAUUUCAGUGGCAGUAGGUUAAAUAAAAUUCUGUUUGUAUCUCC
This 881-nucleotide long non-coding RNA is filed under the name Homo sapiens (human). RNAcentral's name for it is "long intergenic non-protein coding RNA 1013". The record is from RNAcentral. Lineage: Eukaryota; Metazoa; Chordata; Mammalia; Primates; Hominidae.